ACAACUAAAAUAAUAUACAAUAAUAAAUAAUAAUAGUAAUACCGAUCGGCCCUAAAGCAAGUGAUAAAGGACUUGGUGGUUGGUACCCGAAACCCAAAUUUGAAUCUUAGUUGAUUCUCAUUUCCAGCUAAGUUUAUUUCUAAAUGAAAUAAACGAAAUGGAUAGCGUGCUACCUAUCUCUCAAAAUAAUAAUAAUAAUAAUAUAAAUAUAUAGCCGUUGUUUUUACAAUUAUUAUUAUUAUAUUAUAUUAUAUUUUU
Molecule: long non-coding RNA, 258 nt
Filed under: Ananas comosus (pineapple)
Lineage: Eukaryota; Viridiplantae; Streptophyta; Magnoliopsida; Poales; Bromeliaceae
Description: long non-coding RNA (ACOM_LNC011140)
Source: RNAcentral